AGUGGGGGAUAACGUAGCGAAAGUUACGCUAAUACCGCAUAUGCCCUGAGGGGGAAAGGAGGGGAUCGCAAGACCUUUCGCUUUCGGAGUGGCCGAUAUCGGAUUAGCUAGUUGGUGAGGUAAAGGCUCACCAAGGCGACGAUCCGUAGCGGGUCUGAGAGGAUGAUCCGCCACACUGGGACUGAGACACGGCCCAGACUCCUACGGGAGGCAGCAGUGGGGAAUUUUGGACAAUGGGCGCAAGCCUGAUCCAGCCAUGCCGCGUGAGUGAAGAAGGCCUUCGGGUUGUAAAGCUCUUUCAGACGGAAAGAAAUCSYRYYCRYUAAUACYGRGYGKGGAUGACGGUACCGUAAGAAGAAGCACCGGCUAACUACGUGCCAGCAGCCGCGGUAAUACGUAGGGUGCGAGCGUUAAUCGGAAUUACUGGGCGUAAAGCGUGCGCAGGCGGCUUUUUAAGCCAGAUGUGAAAUCCCCGGGCUUAACCUGGGAACUGCAUUUGGAACUGGAAGGCUAGAGUGUAGCAGAGGGGGGUAGAAUUCCA
RNAcentral lists this ribosomal RNA (541 nucleotides) under uncultured Gallionellaceae bacterium. Its description in RNAcentral is "partial 16S ribosomal RNA". It matches the Rfam family "Bacterial small subunit ribosomal RNA", at positions 135 to 671 of the family's 1533-position model. Lineage: Bacteria; Pseudomonadati; Pseudomonadota; Betaproteobacteria; Nitrosomonadales; Gallionellaceae. The record is from RNAcentral.